This 446-nucleotide ribosomal RNA is filed under the name uncultured bacterium. RNAcentral describes it as "partial 16S ribosomal RNA". It matches the Rfam family "Bacterial small subunit ribosomal RNA", at positions 338 to 795 of the family's 1533-position model. The record is from RNAcentral.
CCUACGGGUGGCAGCAGUCGAGAAUCAUUCACAAUGGGGGAAACCCUGAUGGUGCGACGCCGCGUGGGGGAAUGCAGGUCUUCGGAUUGUACACCCCUGUCAUGUGGGAGCAAAUUAAAAAGAUAGUACCACAAGAGGAAGAUCCGGCUAACUCUGUACCAGUAGCCGCGGUAAUACAGAGGUCUCAAGCGUUGUUCGGAAUCCCUGGGGUGAAAUCGUGCGUAGGCUGUUGAGUAAGUCUUGUGUGAAAGGCGCGGGCUCAACCCGCGGACGGCACAUGAUACUGCUAGACUAGAGUAGUGGAGGGGGAUGCGGAAUGCUAGGUGUAGCAGUGAAAUGCGUAGAUAUCGAGAGGAACACUCGUGGCGAAGGCGGGUUCCUGGACAUUAACUGACGCUGAGGCACGAAGGCCAGGGGAGCGAAAGGGAUUAGAUACCCCUGUAGUC